RNA transcript from Carlito syrichta (Philippine tarsier), 644 nucleotides. It is a transcript of the gene named RNA-binding protein EWS pseudogene, with no coding region annotated. Lineage: Eukaryota; Metazoa; Chordata; Mammalia; Primates; Tarsiidae. The record is from RefSeq and is a predicted model, not a curated record. The transcript has a single exon.
UAGUCCGGGGAAAGCGAGGGGGAGACGGACGUUGAGAGAACGAGGAGGAAGGAGAGAAAAUGGCGUCCACGGAUUAUAGUACCUACAGCCAAGCUGCAGCCCAGCAGGGCUACAGUGCUUACACCGCCCAGCCCACUCAAGGAUAUGCACAGACCACCCAGGCAUAUGGGCAGCAAAGCUAUGGAACCUAUGGACAGCCCACUGAUGUCAGCUAUACCCAGGCUCAGACCACUGCAACCUAUGGGCAGACCGCCUAUGCAACUUCUUAUGGACAACCUCCCACUGGUUAUACUACUCCAACUGCCCCCCAGGCAUAUAGCCAGCCUGUCCAGGGGUAUGGCACUGGUGCUUAUGAUACCACCACUGCUACAGUCACCACCACCCAGGCCUCCUAUGCAGCUCAGUCUGCGUACGGCACUCAGCCUGCUUACCCAGCCUAUGGACAGCAGCCAGCAGCCACCGCACCUACAAGACCGCAGGAUGGUAACAAGCCCGCUGAGACUAAUCAACCUCAGUCUAGCACGGGGGGUUACAACCAGCCCAGCCUAGGAUACGGACAGAGUAACUACAGUUAUCCCCAGGUACCUGGGAGCUACCCCAUGCAGCCAGUUACUGCACCUCCAUCCUAUCCUCCUACCAGCUAU